RNAcentral lists this ribosomal RNA (570 nucleotides) under uncultured bacterium. RNAcentral describes it as "partial 16S ribosomal RNA". It matches the Rfam family "Bacterial small subunit ribosomal RNA", at positions 355 to 914 of the family's 1533-position model. The record is from RNAcentral.
UAGGGAAUCUUCGGCAAUGGACGAAAGUCUGACCGAGCAACGCCGCGUGAGUGAAGAAGGUUUUCGGAUCGUAAAACUCUGUUGGUAGAGAAGAACGUUGGUGAGAGUGGAAAGCUCAUCAAGUGACGGUAACUACCCAGAAAGGGACGGCUAACUACGUGCCAGCAGCCGCGGUAAUACGUAGGUCCCGAGCGUUGUCCGGAUUUAUUGGGCGUAAAGCGAGCGCAGGUGGUUUAUUAAGUCUGGUGUAAAAGGCAGUGGCUCAACCAUUGUAUGCAUUGGAAACUGGUAGACUUGAGUGCAGGAGAGGAGAGUGGAAUUCCAUGUGUAGCGGUGAAAUGCGUAGAUAUAUGGAGGAACACCGGUGGCGAAAAGCGGCUCUCUGGCCUGUAACUGACACUGAGGCUCGAAAGCGUGGGGAGCAAACAGGAUUAGAUACCCUGGUAGUCCACGCCGUAAACGAUGAGUGCUAGAUGUAGGGAGCUAUAAGUUCUCUGUAUCGCAGCUAACGCAAUAAGCACUCCGCCUGGGGAGUACGACCGCAAGGUUGAAACUCUAAAGUGAAUUGAC